AAAUUACAUGGCGUAUUACAAUGUACUGCCUGGAUUUAGAGAAACUAAUUGUGCUGUAGGUGUGGCUCUGCACAUGUCAUAUAAAUUUAGAUUUCCUUUAGCCAAAAUAUAAACCCAUUCUAAGCUGUCAACAAUCAACAUUGAUACAUUGUCACCAUCAGUUACCAGAUUUUAUUUGGUCCUCAGUGUGUGCAGCUGUCCUAGCCAGGUACUAUAAAUGUGUCUAAUCUCAUUGGUUACGUCCAUCCAUGGCAUUGGCACUCCGGCUGUUUUAGAAUUACCCGGCUGUUUUAGAAAUGCAAUUCUAGAAAAUCUGGUAAACCAUCAAUGUUUUGCUGAAAUCUGCAAUUGUAUCCAAUACACAUUUAAUUAUUUUCUGCUGACGGUUGUAUGUAUAAGGGAGGAUG
This is a non-coding RNA of Pelobates cultripes (western spadefoot toad), 407 nucleotides long. NCBI's taxonomy places the organism in Eukaryota, Metazoa, Chordata, Amphibia, Anura, Pelobatidae. The record is from the annotation of a GenBank genome assembly.